This 2551-nucleotide long non-coding RNA is filed under the name Equus asinus (donkey). Its description in RNAcentral is "lncRNA (ENSEASG00005033423.1)". The record is from RNAcentral. Lineage: Eukaryota; Metazoa; Chordata; Mammalia; Perissodactyla; Equidae.
CGGUUGGGCAGCGUCGUUUCUGAGGAGGAGGAGGAAGGAGGGCGAGCGAGGAGGAUGGCGGAGUCGGGGCUCCUGACGGUAACCGGGGGCCGCUAAGGCGGGAGGGUGUUUCUUGGUUGGUUCUUCCUGCCUUCCUUCCUGCCCGUCGGGCGGUCGGGCUGGCUGUCGGUAGGGGGAGGCCCCGCGCGCCCUGACAGGCGCGAGCCUGCGGGGCUGGGGCGAGGCCCGCGGGGCCGGGGCCCUGGGAGGCGCCGCCGUCGCCGCCGCUUUCCUGGGUGCUGUUGCCGGGAGAGCUGGGCCGCCGGAACCAGCUCUCGCGGGGAGCCCGCAGCCGGGCUCUUAAGAGCGAGCCGGCGGCUCUGACAGCCGCCCGGGCCGGGCCUGCGGUGGCGGCGGGCGGCCGGGACAGCGCCCGGGCGAGGGCGAACGGGUGUGAGGGCGCGGGCCGGGGGCGCCUGGCGGACGGUCCUGCUCCACUCGGCUCCCGGGGGCGCCGGGCCCGGGCUGUGGGGCGCCCCGUGGGCGUCCGGAGGGGCGUGUAAAUCGUUGGCGGGGGCCCGGGUGCAGCGGGAGUGAUACGGGGCGGGGUCUUUCCUCGGCCGCUCUCCAAAGCCCACCGCGCUCUCCCUGUCUCCUCUCUUCGGUGAAGACUGGUGAGUCGGCUUUGGGUGUGUUGCCUGGUGAAGCGAGUUGUAGCCAUCCAAGACUACCCUGUUGGAAAUGCUUGAUGGCACCCUCUUUCCGCGGUGGCUUUUGGGGAUAGAGGAAAAGUACUCUACGGCCCCCCUCCCCCCCAGCUUUUAGCGCUAAAGGCUUCAGGACAAAACGAUUUUUCCCCAGCCCCUCAGUAUCCAUUGUUUUGUACCAUCCCCCUCCUCCGCCCCGUGCCUAGGUAGAAGAAUAAUGGCUUCAAACCAUUAAUUGCCUUUUUCCCCCCUUAAAUCGGCAGAGGGUUUGCCUUAUUGUGUUAGUAUGGAUUUACAAACAGGUGGAAUGAAUACCCAUUUGGGUGUUGGAAAGAAGAUGCUUUUUGUGUGUGUUUUUAAGCUUUCAGCCCUUACAGUUGGUGAUUUGAUUUUCUUGUCUCUUGCUUUGUAUCAUAAUAGGAGUGAUGAGAAUAAAAGAGGAAGCAAUGUUUUUACACCCUACCCAAAGAAAUGUUUUCUAAGUCUCUGGGGAUGCUGAAGCAAAAUUGGGUUGCAGAUGUGACUGUAUAGUAUUUGUCUCCGUCAUGUUUCUAGGUAUCGACCUGGCCCAUCUCUAAGGUUACUACUCUUUCCCAAGGUGUUUGUUCAGUUUUUGAAGAAAACAAUUACAUUUAUCUCAGGUUGGCAUUUGUUUUCUGAUCUUUCAUUGUUAGUAUAAUCUUUAAGUGUUUAAAUUUUUCUCUUGUUAUACUUUUUAUGGAUUAAAGACUGAUAUUAAGAGAUACAGUAAUUGCUUGCAGCUGGAUUAGUUUUUAGUUUUUAAACUGCCAUAUUCAGAAGGUUUAUCAGAGCUGUGUUUUGAUAAUUGUAACAGGUAAGACUCAUACAGCAACUUGUGUACUACAAACCAAAUUUGAAACAUAUCAUUUUCCAAAAGGAACACAAAAGUUAUAAAUUCUUUUGUUAUUCUUACUGGAGUUAUACUUUUUAAAUAUUACUGUUUCAUCAGUGACUUGGGACAGGGUUUGUCCCAUGUUCAGAGAAACAUAAACUGUAAUUCUAUGUGGAAUACUCUCAAAGGUGGCUUCCGAAUAGCUGCUAGUAUAUUUUGUGCCUUGGCUGACCCAUGUGGAUUGUGGGGGAAGGGUGAAUAAAAUUGGAAUUCUUUGUUAUCCAGGCAGUUAAAUUGCAGUCAUAUUUGUUUUGAAAAUAUGCUGGAUAAUCAAUAUCUGUUGUGUAAUUUAAUAUUUCUGUAAGACUUUUUUCUUUAAACAAUUUAAAUAAUUUUUAGAAUUUUUUUUCUAGUAAGAAGAUAUUUAAGUAUAAAAAUAAUCUUUCGUGUUUUUGACUAAAAAAUGUACUCUAACCUACGUGUGCAGAUAUGAGGAUAAAUAUUUUUUUGGAGGUUGAAGAUUAAGUGAAAUAAUGUAUCUUUAGAAUUCAGUUUAUUAUAUCAUUCAUGUAUGAAAAAGCAUAAAAUCUAUGCUUCUAACCAAAAAAACAAAACAAGAUUCCUUCCCUCCCCCAAAUAAUAAAAAACAACACCCCAGCAAGUUGACCCAUAAUUCCUUCAUUGAGUUCUGAGGUUUAUAGCUUGGCCUUGCUGGAAGUGUUCUUGAAAUAGUUUAUAAAAUAUCAAUUAGGAGAGGAAAUUUAGAUAUAAAGUAUACACAUUGACAUUUCCAAAUAAGACUAGUAGGGAAUUGGUAAAUAUUUUGCUAUAGGUGAAUUAGGUAGAAAUUGGCUGUAAUUUAGUAGCAGAGUGAUACAUUAAGUACUUCUCUGUGCUACAUGAGAAAUGAAUAUGUACUGCAAAUAUUAAAUUGGUUGCUAUUUUUGCUUAUUGUUAGAUUUCAUGCAUUAUAUAUUAUGUAUUAUAAUUUAGGGCUAAAUCUUUCAUAGAC